This 211-nucleotide ribosomal RNA is filed under the name uncultured bacterium. RNAcentral's name for it is "partial 16S ribosomal RNA". It matches the Rfam family "Bacterial small subunit ribosomal RNA", at positions 1291 to 1500 of the family's 1533-position model. The record is from RNAcentral.
GUUCGGAUCGCAGGCUGCAACCCGCCUGCGUGAAGUUGGAAUCGCUAGUAAUCGCGGAUCAGCAUGCCGCGGUGAAUACGUUCCCGGGCCUUGUACACACCGCCCGUCACACCAUGAGAGUCGGGAACACCCGAAGUCCGUAGCCUAACCGCGAAGGGGGGCGCGGCCGAAGGUGGGUUCGAUAAUUGGGGUGAAGUCGUAACAAGGUAAC